ACGUAGGAUGCAAGCGUUGUCCGGAAUUAUUGGGCGUAAAGAGUUCGUAGGCGGUUAUCUAAGUCUGGUGUUAAAGACGGGAGCUCAACUCCCGCAUGGCAUUGGAAACUGGGUGACUAGAGUGUGGUAGAGGUCUCGGGAAUUCCAGGUGUGGCGGUGAAAUGCGUAGAUAUCUGGAGGAACACCAGUGGCGAAAGCGCGAGACUGGGCCAUAACUGACGCUGAGGAACGAAAGCCAGGGUAGCAAAAGGGA
This 253-nucleotide ribosomal RNA is filed under the name uncultured prokaryote. RNAcentral's name for it is "partial 16S ribosomal RNA". It matches the Rfam family "Bacterial small subunit ribosomal RNA", at positions 525 to 777 of the family's 1533-position model. The record is from RNAcentral.